AGCGAACGCUGGCGGCAGGCUUAACACAUGCAAGUCGAGCGGGCAUCCUUGUGGUGUCAGCGGCAGACGGGUGAGUAACGCGUGGGAACGUGCCCUUCGGUUCGGAAUAACUCAGGGAAACUUGAGCUAAUACCGGAUACGUGCGGGAGCAGAAAGGUUUAUCUGCCGAAGGAUCGGCCCGCGUCUGAUUAGCUAGUUGGUGAGGUUAUGGCUCACCAAGGCGACGAUCAGUAGCUGGUCUGAGAGGAUGAUCAGCCACACUGGGACUGAGACACGGCCCAGACUCCUACGGGAGGCAGCAGUGGGGAAUAUUGGUCAAUGGGGGCAACCCUGAUCCAGCCAUGCCGCGUGAGUGAUGACGGCCUUAGGGUUGUAAAGCUCUUUUCUUCGGGACGAUAAUGACGGUACCGGAGGAAUAAGCCCCGGCUAACUUCGUG
Molecule: ribosomal RNA, 437 nt
Filed under: uncultured bacterium
Lineage: Bacteria
Description: partial 16S ribosomal RNA
Rfam family: Bacterial small subunit ribosomal RNA
Source: RNAcentral